RNAcentral lists this non-coding RNA (29 nucleotides) under Rattus norvegicus (Norway rat). Lineage: Eukaryota; Metazoa; Chordata; Mammalia; Rodentia; Muridae. The record is from RNAcentral.
UGAACAAGACAUAGAGGGGAUAGGGCUGC